CACCUUCUACAGAACCCCUCAUCCACCACCUCAAGCAAGAGCAUACGCUAAAAUCAUCAAAUGGCCCGAUAAGCAGGAAUUCUCCAUCCUUUUUCUUCUUGCCCAUUAGCAAUAUUCUUGAAACUUGACUCUUUGGGAUUCUUAUAUGAUACCACUUAAUUUCUCAAAUCCUGUUUCUCAGACCCUCCUAGUCCACCUUUUCACUAAACAAGGGCAUUUCCCCAAAUUCAAUCCUUGGUGUGUUCUCUCUACUUCUCUAUUCUCCCUCCUCCAGAGGUAACAUCUGAUGUUUCAAUUUUGGCAGUUACCUGAGCAAGUGAUCCUGAUAUGUAGGUGCUGUUGGCCUCCAGUCUCACACAUCAACUCACCAAUCAUGGAGAAGAAGUUAGAUGACUUCCUGUCACCUGUCAUUUGUGCAUUUUCUCCAAAUCCUCAAUCCCUUCCAUUUAAAUCCUGGCCCAGCAAAGAGAAGGGCUCUGGACCUGAGAUCAUCCAUCAUGGACAACCUCUCUGCCAAGAAAAGCCCAGGGCUACUUCCUUAGGAAGGGUCUUUGGACCAGGGCAUUUCAGCAAGAAGGGGAAAAUUGGACAUGACUGGCACUUAAACAAACCCAACAGGUGCAGACUGUAAAUUGGCAAAGUGACAUCAUCAGUAGAAAAUCAGACUACAGAAAUCGAGAAGCUUGGCAUAGCCCUUCUCUUUCCAGUCCACUUGACCUGGUGCUAACCACACAACUGCCUUAAGCCUUAAUUUUCUCAUGGAGAUGGAAAUGGGUUAUUGGGAAAUUCAAAUCAGAUAAUUUACGUGAAAAUAUGUUAUAAUCUCUGAGAUGUAAAGCGUGACCACCAGAGUUUAAAAAGAAUAGAAGCAAGAAGACAAGCUGAGUCACUAACUUGCCAGGGAAGUGAACACACUCCAGGGAAGAAAUUCACUCAAUGGUGAGUAGAAAAUGCACCACGUUCAAGGCUUUUUUUAUUAUAACAUCCAACAUCUUUGACAAAUUACAAAUAGAACAUAGUGGUUGAUUAAGUAAGCGGUGCUAUGGUGACGGUAAAAGCUAUCCACUAAUCUUUUCAUAAAAGACAAAUGGCAAAGUGGGGAUUUCUUUUAACAAAGAAUCAAGAGGGCCUUUAGAAACUGAAGAAUCAGAUUGUAAAGUCGGAAGCAUUGGUCUCUGUAACUGUAAUCUCC
Molecule: long non-coding RNA, 1192 nt
Filed under: Pan paniscus (pygmy chimpanzee)
Lineage: Eukaryota; Metazoa; Chordata; Mammalia; Primates; Hominidae
Description: lncRNA (ENSPPAG00000044637.1)
Source: RNAcentral